GCGGACGGCAGAGUAACACGUGGGUAACCUACCUAUAAGACUGGGAUAACUUCGGGAAACCGGAGCUAAUACCGGAUAACAUUUGGAACCGCAUGGUUCUAAAGUGAAAGAUGGUUUUGCUAUCACUUAUAGAUGGACCCGCGCCGUAUUAGCUAGUUGGUAAGGUAACGGCUUACCAAGGCGACGAUACGUAGCCGACCUGAGAGGGUGAUCGGCCACACUGGAACUGAGACACGGUCCAGACUCCUACGGGAGGCAGCAGUAGGGAAUCUUCCGCAAUGGGCGAAAGCCUGACUUUUUUUUUGCCGCGUGAGUGAUGAAGGGUUUCGGCUCGUAAAACUCUGUUUAUUACGGAAGAACAAACGUGUAAGUAACUGUGCAUGUCUUGACGGUACUUAUUCUAAAGUCUUUGCUAACUACGUGUCAUCAGUCGCGGUAAUAAUUUGUGGUAAGCGUUUUCUGGAAUUAUUGUGUGUAUUUUUUGUA
Molecule: ribosomal RNA, 486 nt
Filed under: uncultured Staphylococcus sp.
Lineage: Bacteria; Bacillati; Bacillota; Bacilli; Caryophanales; Staphylococcaceae
Description: bacterial SSU rRNA
Rfam family: Bacterial small subunit ribosomal RNA
Source: RNAcentral